This 225-nucleotide ribosomal RNA is filed under the name uncultured Brucella sp. RNAcentral describes it as "partial 16S ribosomal RNA". It matches the Rfam family "Bacterial small subunit ribosomal RNA", at positions 568 to 792 of the family's 1533-position model. The record is from RNAcentral. Lineage: Bacteria; Pseudomonadati; Pseudomonadota; Alphaproteobacteria; Hyphomicrobiales; Brucellaceae.
CACGUAGGCGGACUUUUAAGUCAGGGGUGAAAUCCCGGGGCUCAACCCCGGAACUGCCUUUGAUACUGGAAGUCUUGAGUAUGGUAGAGGUGAGUGGAAUUCCGAGUGUAGAGGUGAAAUUCGUAGAUAUUCGGAGGAACACCAGUGGCGAAGGCGACUUUCUGGACUGUAACUGACGCUGAGGCUCGAAAGCGUGGGGAGCGAACAGGAUUAGAUACCCUUGUA